UUCCCAUUCUCUCUACCUUUGUGUUUUAACUUUUGUUGAGCACUGGACCAUUACCCAUAAAAGCGCGUGUCUCCGCAUACGUCUUCACUUACCAAUGAGGCACGGGUUCGAGUCCUGGCUUGGCCCAGGCUUUAAGUGCAUUUGGUUUCCAGUCCAUACUCGCUCUCGCAGGUUUUCUCCGGGUACUCCGGUUUCCUCCUGCCUCUAAAACUGGACCUUCUUCCUUACUCCGUAAUAUGAUGCAGAUUAAUAAAGUGCUUGUCGAGCUUCAACCGCGGCAACCCGGGCCAUUGGUCCAGAUUCUGUCCAUUCAAGUACUCGAAUGCUGCACGAUACGAAAGGUGGAUCCAGGUUCAGAUAUCAACCCUUCGCUACUCCUGCCAGAGACAUCCGAUCCCAGGUCAAUUUGCACUGCCCUUCCGCUCUUUACUCCUUCUAUCGCCGCUGCAACCUCAGAACUCGGCAAAGAACCUCAAGCAUCAUCCAAGUCCUAGCUCUGUCGCUGACAGAUUUUCCAACAUAAUACAGGCACUGUUCUCGACCUGUUUCCAAAUGCCAAUCCAUGUGAGGUGAUAGCCAAAAUGGCACAAAAGGGCAAGGACCUGCGAG
Molecule: RNA transcript, 609 nt
Organism: Acanthaster planci (crown-of-thorns starfish)
Lineage: Eukaryota; Metazoa; Echinodermata; Asteroidea; Valvatida; Acanthasteridae
Source: RefSeq, a predicted model, not a curated record